RNAcentral lists this ribosomal RNA (618 nucleotides) under Haemophilus sp. HMSC068C11. Its description in RNAcentral is "bacterial LSU rRNA". It matches the Rfam family "Bacterial large subunit ribosomal RNA", at positions 2181 to 2798 of the family's 2925-position model. The record is from RNAcentral. Lineage: Bacteria; Pseudomonadati; Pseudomonadota; Gammaproteobacteria; Pasteurellales; Pasteurellaceae.
UGGAGUCGUCCUUGAAAUACCACCCUUUAACGUUUGAUGUUCUAACGAAGAUUACGAAACGUGGUCUCGGACAGUGUCUGGUGGGUAGUUUGACUGGGGCGGUCUCCUCCCAAAGAGUAACGGAGGAGCACGAAGGUUUGCUAAUGACGGUCGGACAUCGUCAGGUUAGUGCAAUGGUAUAAGCAAGCUUAACUGCGAGACAGACAAGUCGAGCAGGUACGAAAGUAGGUCAUAGUGAUCCGGUGGUUCUGAAUGGAAGGGCCAUCGCUCAACGGAUAAAAGGUACUCCGGGGAUAACAGGCUGAUACCGCCCAAGAGUUCAUAUCGACGGCGGUGUUUGGCACCUCGAUGUCGGCUCAUCACAUCCUGGGGCUGAAGUAGGUCCCAAGGGUAUGGCUGUUCGCCAUUUAAAGUGGUACGCGAGCUGGGUUUAGAACGUCGUGAGACAGUUCGGUCCCUAUCUGCCGUGGGCGUUGGAGAAUUGAUUGGGGCUGCUCCUAGUACGAGAGGACCGGAGUGGACGCACCACUGGUGUUCCGGUUGUGUCGCCAGACGCAUUGCCGGGUAGCUAAGUGCGGAAGAGAUAAGUGCUGAAAGCAUCUAAGCACGAAACUUGCC